GGGUUGUGAGGUUAAGCGACUAAGCGUACACGGUGGAUGCCCUGGCAGUCAGAGGCGAUGAAGGACGUGCUAAUCUGCGAUAAGCGUCGGUAAGGUGAUAUGAACCGUUAUAACCGGCGAUUUCCGAAUGGGGAAACCCAGUGUGUUUCGACACACUAUCAUUAACUGAAUCCAUAGGUUAAUGAGGCGAACCGGGGGAACUGAAACAUCUAAGUACCCCGAGGAAAAGAAAUCAACCGAGAUUCCCCCAGUAGCGGCGAGCGAACGGGGAGCAGCCCAGAGCCUGAAUCAGUGUGUGUGUUAGUGGAAGCGUCUGGAAAGGCGCGCGAUACAGGGUGACAGCCCCGUACACAAAAAUGCACAUGCUGUGAGCUCGAUGAGUAGGGCGGGACACGUGGUAUCCUGUCUGAAUAUGGGGGGACCAUCCUCCAAGGCUAAAUACUCCUGACUGACCGAUAGUGAACCAGUACCGUGAGGGAAAGGCGAAAAGAACCCCGGCGAGGGGAGUGAAAAAGAACCUGAAACCGUGUACGUACAAGCAGUGGGAGCACGCUUAGGCGUGUGACUGCGUACCUUUUGUAUAAUGGGUCAGCGACUUAUAUUCUGUAGCAAGGUUAACCGAAUAGGGGAGCCGAAGGGAAACCGAGUCUUAACUGGGCGUUAAGUUGCAGGGUAUAGACCCGAAACCCGGUGAUCUAGCCAUGGGCAGGUUGAAGGUUGGGUAACACUAACUGGAGGACCGAACCGACUAAUGUUGAAAAAUUAGCGGAUGACUUGUGGCUGGGGGUGAAAGGCCAAUCAAACCGGGAGAUAGCUGGUUCUCCCCGAAAGCUAUUUAGGUAGCGCCUCGUGAAUUCAUCUCCGGGGGUAGAGCACUGUUUCGGCAAGGGGGUCAUCCCGACUUACCAACCCGAUGCAAACUGCGAAUACCGGAGAAUGUUAUCACGGGAGACACACGGCGGGUGCUAACGUCCGUCGUGAAGAGGGAAACAACCCAGACCGCCAGCUAAGGUCCCAAAGUCAUGGUUAAGUGGGAAACGAUGUGGGAAGGCCCAGACAGCCAGGAUGUUGGCUUAGAAGCAGCCAUCAUUUAAAGAAAGCGUAAUAGCUCACUGGUCGAGUCGGCCUGCGCGGAAGAUGUAACGGGGCUAAACCAUGCACCGAAGCUGCGGCAGCGACGCUUAUGCGUUGUUGGGUAGGGGAGCGUUCUGUAAGCCUGCGAAGGUGUGCUGUGAGGCAUGCUGGAGGUAUCAGAAGUGCGAAUGCUGACAUAAGUAACGAUAAAGCGGGUGAAAAGCCCGCUCGCCGGAAGACCAAGGGUUCCUGUCCAACGUUAAUCGGGGCAGGGUGAGUCGACCCCUAAGGCGAGGCCGAAAGGCGUAGUCGAUGGGAAACAGGUUAAUAUUCCUGUACUUGGUGUUACUGCGAAGGGGGGACGGAGAAGGCUAUGUUGGCCGGGCGACGGUUGUCCCGGUUUAAGCGUGUAGGCUGGUUUUCCAGGCAAAUCCGGAAAAUCAAGGCUGAGGCGUGAUGACGAGGUACUACGGUGCUGAAGCAACAAAUGCCCUGCUUCCAGGAAAAGCCUCUAAGCAUCAGGUAACAUCAAAUCGUACCCCAAACCGACACAGGUGGUCAGGUAGAGAAUACCAAGGCGCUUGAGAGAACUCGGGUGAAGGAACUAGGCAAAAUGGUGCCGUAACUUCGGGAGAAGGCACGCUGAUAUGUAGGUGAAGUCCCUUGCGGAUGGAGCUGAAAUCAGUCGAAGAUACCAGCUGGCUGCAACUGUUUAUUAAAAACACAGCACUGUGCAAACACGAAAGUGGACGUAUACGGUGUGACGCCUGCCCGGUGCCGGAAGGUUAAUUGAUGGGGUUAGCGCAAGCGAAGCUCUUGAUCGAAGCCCCGGUAAACGGCGGCCGUAACUAUAACGGUCCUAAGGUAGCGAAAUUCCUUGUCGGGUAAGUUCCGACCUGCACGAAUGGCGUAAUGAUGGCCAGGCUGUCUCCACCCGAGACUCAGUGAAAUUGAACUCGCUGUGAAGAUGCAGUGUACCCGCGGCAAGACGGAAAGACCCCGUGAACCUUUACUAUAGCUUGACACUGAACAUUGAGCCUUGAUGUGUAGGAUAGGUGGGAGGCUUUGAAGUGUGGACGCCAGUCUGCAUGGAGCCGACCUUGAAAUACCACCCUUUAAUGUUUGAUGUUCUAACGUUGACCCGUAAUCCGGGUUGCGGACAGUGUCUGGUGGGUAGUUUGACUGGGGCGGUCUCCUCCUAAAGAGUAACGGAGGAGCACGAAGGUUGGCUAAUCCUGGUCGGACAUCAGGAGGUUAGUGCAAUGGCAUAAGCCAGCUUGACUGCGAGCGUGACGGCGCGAGCAGGUGCGAAAGCAGGUCAUAGUGAUCCGGUGGUUCUGAAUGGAAGGGCCAUCGCUCAACGGAUAAAAGGUACUCCGGGGAUAACAGGCUGAUACCGCCCAAGAGUUCAUAUCGACGGCGGUGUUUGGCACCUCGAUGUCGGCUCAUCACAUCCUGGGGCUGAAGUAGGUCCCAAGGGUAUGGCUGUUCGCCAUUUAAAGUGGUACGCGAGCUGGGUUUAGAACGUCGUGAGACAGUUCGGUCCCUAUCUGCCGUGGGCGCUGGAGAACUGAGGGGGGCUGCUCCUAGUACGAGAGGACCGGAGUGGACGCAUCACUGGUGUUCGGGUUGUCAUGCCAAUGGCACUGCCCGGUAGCUAAAUGCGGAAGAGAUAAGUGCUGAAAGCAUCUAAGCACGAAACUUGCCCCGAGAUGAGUUCUCCCUGACUCCUUGAGAGUCCUGAAGGAACGUUGAAGACGACGACGUUGAUAGGCCGGGUGUGUAAGCGCAGCGAUGCGUUGAGCUAACCGGUACUAAUGAACCGUGAGGCUUAACCUUACAACGCCGAAGGUGUUU
This 2931-nucleotide ribosomal RNA is filed under the name Escherichia coli. RNAcentral describes it as "23S ribosomal RNA". It matches the Rfam family "Bacterial large subunit ribosomal RNA". The record is from RNAcentral. Lineage: Bacteria; Pseudomonadati; Pseudomonadota; Gammaproteobacteria; Enterobacterales; Enterobacteriaceae.